GAUGAACGCUGGCGGCGUGCCUAAUACAUGCAAGUAGAACGCUGAAGGAGGAGCUUGCUCUUCUGGAUGAGUUGCGAACGGGUGAGUAACGCGUAGGUAACCUGCCUGGUAGCGGGGGAUAACUAUUGGAAACGAUAGCUAAUACCGCAUGACAACAGUUAUUGCAUGAUAACGGUAUAAAAGGGGCAACUGCUCCACUACCAGAUGGACCUGCGUUGUAUUAGCUAGUUGGGGAGGUAACGGCUCACCAAGGCGACGAUACAUAGCCGACCGGAGAGGGGGGUCGGCCACACUGGGACUGAGACACGGCCCAGACUCCUACGGGAGGCAGCAGUAGGGAACCUUCGGCAAUGGACGGAAGUCUGACCGAGCAACGCCGCGGGAGUGAAGAAGGUUGUCGGAUCGUAAAGAUCGGUUGUAAGAGAAGAACGAGUGUGAGAGUGGAAAGUUCACAUUGUGACGGUAUCUGAACAGAAAGCGACGGCUAACUACGUG
Molecule: ribosomal RNA, 495 nt
Filed under: uncultured bacterium
Lineage: Bacteria
Description: partial 16S ribosomal RNA
Rfam family: Bacterial small subunit ribosomal RNA
Source: RNAcentral